UGGGGAAUAUUGGACAAUGGGCGCAAGCCUGAUCCAGCCAUGCCGCGUGAGUGAUGAAGGCCCUAGGGUUGUAAAGCUCUUUUGUGCGGGAAGAUAAUGACUGUACCGCAAGAAUAAGCCCCGGCUAACUUCGUGCCAGCAGCCGCGGUAAUACGAAGGGGGCUAGCGUUGCUCGGAAUCACUGGGCGUAAAGCGCACGUAGGCGGACUCUUAAGUCGGUGGUGAAAUCCUGGAGCUCAACUCCAGAACUGCCUUCGAUACUGGGAGUCUCGAGUUCGGGAGAGGUGAGUGGAACUGCGAGUGUAGAGGUGAAAUUCGUAGAUAUUCGCAAGAACACCAGUGGCGAAGGCGGCUCACUGGCCCGAUACUGACGCUGAGGUGCGAAAGCGUGGGGAGCAAAACAGGAUUAGAUACCCUGGUAGUCCACGCCGUAAACGUGAAUGCUAGCCGUUGGUGGGUUUACCUUCAGUGGCGCAGCUAACGCUUUAAGCAUUCCGCCUGGGGAGUACGGUCGCAAGAUUAAAACUCAAAUGAAUUGACGGGGUCAUAGCUG
Molecule: ribosomal RNA, 553 nt
Filed under: uncultured bacterium
Lineage: Bacteria
Description: partial 16S ribosomal RNA
Rfam family: Bacterial small subunit ribosomal RNA
Source: RNAcentral